CGGGGCGUAGCGCAGUCUGGUAGCGCACUUGCAUGGGGUGUAAGGGGUCGAAGGUUCAAAUCCUUCCGUUCCGACCA
Molecule: transfer RNA, 77 nt
Filed under: Sphingobacteriales bacterium
Lineage: Bacteria; Pseudomonadati; Bacteroidota; Sphingobacteriia; Sphingobacteriales
Description: tRNA-Pro
Rfam family: tRNA
About the family: Transfer RNA (tRNA) molecules are approximately 80 nucleotides in length. Their secondary structure includes four short double-helical elements and three loops (D, anti-codon, and T loops).
Source: RNAcentral